RNAcentral lists this ribosomal RNA (797 nucleotides) under uncultured Bacteroidota bacterium. RNAcentral's name for it is "bacterial SSU rRNA". It matches the Rfam family "Bacterial small subunit ribosomal RNA", at positions 1 to 792 of the family's 1533-position model. Lineage: Bacteria; Pseudomonadati; Bacteroidota. The record is from RNAcentral.
AGGAGUUUGAUCCUGGCUCAGGAUGAACGCUAGCGGCAGGCUUAACACAUGCAAGUCGAGGGGCAGCGCGGUAGCAAUACUGGCGGCGACCGGCAAACGGGUGCGGAACACGUACGCAACAUACCCUUGUCUGGGGCAUAGCCCGAAGAAAUUCGGAUUAACACCCCAUAAGAUCAUAGAAUGGCAUCAUUUAGUGAUUAAAAAUUUAUUGGACAGGGAUUGGCGUGCGUCCUAUUAGCUAGUUGGUAAGGGUAACGGCCUACCAAGGCAACGAUAGGUAGCUGGUGUGAGAGCACGACCAGCCACACGGGCACUGAGACACGGGCCCGACUCCUACGGGAGGCAGCAGUGAGGAAUAUUGGUCAAUGGACGCAAGUCUGAACCAGCCAUGCCGCGUGAAGGAUGAAGGCGUUCUGCGUUGUAAACUUCUUUUAUCUGGGAAGAAACCUGAUUAUUCUUAGUCAGCCGACGGUACCAGAGGAAUAAGCACCGGCUAACUCCGUGCCAGCAGCCGCGGUAAUACGGAGGGUGCAAGCGUUAUCCGGAUUUACUGGGUUUAAAGGGUGUGUAGGCGGACUUUUAAGUCAGCGGUCGAAAUCUCCGGGCUCAACCCGGAAACUGCCAUUGAUACUAUUGGUCUUGAAUAUUGUUGAGGUGGGCGGAACGGGUCAUGUAGCGGUGAAAUGCAUAGAUAUGACCCCGGAACACCCGAUUGCGAAGGCANGCCCACUAAGCAANUGAUUGACCGCUGGGGCCACGAAAGCGUCGGGGAUCAAACAGGAUUAGAUACCCUGGUA